RNAcentral lists this ribosomal RNA (253 nucleotides) under uncultured bacterium. RNAcentral describes it as "partial 16S ribosomal RNA". It matches the Rfam family "Bacterial small subunit ribosomal RNA", at positions 524 to 776 of the family's 1533-position model. The record is from RNAcentral.
GACGUAGGGCGCGAGCGUUGUCCGGAUUUAUUGGGCGUAAAGAGCUCGUAGGCGGCUUGUUGCGUCGAAUGUGAAAACCCACGGCUCAACUGUGGGCUUGCAUUCGAUACGGGCAGGCUAGAGUUCGGUAGGGGAGACUGGAAUUCCUGGUGUAGCGGUGAAAUGCGCAGAUAUCAGGAAGAACACCAAUGGCGAAAGCAGCUCUCUGGGACGGUACUGACGCUGAGACGCGAAAGCGUGGGGAGCGAACAGG